AAGUUAAUUAGCUUAAUUAAAAGCGUGUAUUUUGAAAAUACAAGAUAGAAAAUUAUUUAUUAACUUA
Molecule: transfer RNA, 67 nt
Filed under: Processina sexmaculata
Lineage: Eukaryota; Metazoa; Arthropoda; Insecta; Hemiptera; Cicadellidae
Description: tRNA-Ser
Source: RNAcentral